Long non-coding RNA from Triticum aestivum (bread wheat), 3003 nucleotides. RefSeq lists it as uncharacterized. The record is from RefSeq and is a predicted model, not a curated record. The transcript is spliced from 2 exons. Lineage: Eukaryota; Viridiplantae; Streptophyta; Magnoliopsida; Poales; Poaceae.
UAAGAUCUAAUGGUCCUUAAUCUUUCGAUGUUUGACGCAACAAACCACGCAUCCAGUGUUUAACACUUCAAGCCAUCCAUCGAUAAAACUGCCCCGCUGUUCAGAAAAAACAAACAACGCACGCCUCCACGUCCUCUGGCACGACCUCGACCUCUCGCCCCUGCUCCUCCUCCCCCGCCGUUCGCCCUCUGCCCGUUCCUCGCCGCACCUCCCGAGCCUCCCGCCGCUCCUCCAUUCCUCCGGAGCCGCCUGCCACGCCCUUCGCCGCGGGAUCCCCUUCGUCGCGAGAGCCGCCGUCGAGCCCGUCCAUCGCGCCCGAGCCGCCCCGGAGCCGCCCUUCGCCGUGGCCCGCAGGUCGCCGAGCCGCCCUUCGACGCGGCCCGCAGGUUCCCCAGCCGCCGCCCUGGAGCCACCCUUCGCCGCAAGUCGCCGCCGCCGGAGCCGCCCUUCGCCACAUGUCUCCUCCCUUCUAGCCGCCCUGCCCUCACCGCUCUUGUCUUCAAGCCCAAGAUCAAGUUAUUAUUGAGGACAAAUGAAGGGGUGCAUUGCAAUCUAGAUUUGACUAAAUGUGUGGCACAAUCUGUUGACAAACACAUUUACGUUUAAGUAUGUGUAGUAUGCUUCAGGUAAUUAACCACAACAUUUGUUUCGUCAAUUAUUUCCUUUUCAUUCAGUGAAUGUCCUUUUGUUAAAAAGCGUGAGUUGAAUGUGUAAGUACGGAAAAGGUUCUCCCAUUGGGUUGCCACUACAACGAAAUAAACAUGUAAAUGACUGUUAAACAUACUCUAUUUUUGUAAUUCAAAGGCAAUGUUUCUGCCGGUCUCUUGAAAGAAAUAAAAGAAAUGCAGCCUUUAUAACUGAAUCUCUACAUUCAUUUUUGGAGAUCAGAGAGCUAUAUAUUAACUAGUUAUUAUGUUGCACACUGCAUUCAAUUUAGUGAGCUUGUUAUUUUUCUGAUCGGAUUCAGUGGUAAUGGAAUUGGGUGGUGAAGAAAACUAGCAAGCUGCAUAGGAGAAAUUCAUAUGUGCACCCGCAUGAAUAAUAAUUUUCCAAAUGUCAAAUAGUUCUAGAAAAAAUAUACAUAUAAAUAUCUGAAUCAUCUGUGUCUUUGUAAAAUUAGUGGAAAAAUGAUUUGGAAGGAUGAGGUUGCUUUAGUCUUGACCACGAAGUGCUCUCUGGUAGCGCUGUCGCGGCCAGUCGGCCACUCGCUCUCCAAAUCCUGCAGCUGUGCAUGGGUCCGAUGGACAGGCAUGGCGGCUCAAACCUGCGGGCUCCACGAUCACCACGGCGCUGCCUCAUGGCCUUGCCGCUGGCACUCACCGAACCCUCACCGGAUUGUCGACCCCACAACUAACCAUCACCCUCAUCUCAUUAGUUGGCUUCCCCCUACUGGAUCUGAAUUUUUUUGGUUGGUUUGCAAAGUGCAGAUGUGUGACCUCCUCUAUGAUGAAGGCAUCGAGGAGAUGAACUUUUGCUUCUCAAGCUUUGAUUUAGUUGAGAUGUUUAAGCAAUAUUGGUCACUUCCAAGUAAAUUUUAUGAUGAUGUGAUAUAUGUCUACUAAUUUCCAUUUUUUCCCCUUUGUGUUCAGGUAUCUAUACUAAAGGUUGCAGUACAACACUAGUUGGUUACAAUUUUGUAGAUUUCCUUUUACCCUUAGUUUGUGCUCCCUCCGAUCCAAAUAUAAGUGCCGCAGCUUUGAACUAAGGUGUUCAACCUUAGUUCAAAACUGCGACACUUAUUAUGGAUCGGAGGAAGUAGUAAAUGCCCAUUAGUAUAGUCCCUUAAGGCCUAAAAAGUAGCAUAGGAUAUGGGAGCAAAAGGUUCAAUGAAAACUUUUAAAACCUGAGGUGCAAGUAUAUUUUGUAGGCUUGUGGAUUGUGGUGCAUGUUCACAUGUACGAGCUAGAACUUCCUUUGUGUUGGCGGAAGUGUUAGCCUGCCAUUAUCAGUUGAGUAUAGGGCCUGACCAGCGUUUUGGUCUUUCAUUUACUUUUUACCAACUCAAGUAAAAUGUUUGAAAUCUUAUAUCGACCACAUCACUAGAAUUUGGUUGGACUAUGGUUGCAUGUUUAAGUCGAAAGAGGGAUCGACCUUCAACGUUACCUCGUCAGGUUGUUUAGUUCCAACGAGGUCUAAAUCCAUUCCCCCAUCUUGUGCCGAUUGCCUUCUUAGUACUAAUGUUUCCCCUUAGUGACAUUGUCUAUUUGGUGUCCUUUUUUGUAUAAAAUUACUUUAUGAUGUUCAUCCUGCUAAGCUGCAGGGGUAAUAGUGCUUCCAGUAUUUGUAAUUUUGAAAGUGCUUCCAGUAACCAUCUCCGCUCUACAAUAAUAGUGCUUCCAGUCAUGGAUCAGAUGGCUUAGUAUGUGACAGAGGCUCUUUGCUCCAAUCAAUCAGUGGGAGAUCAAAUAGCUUAAGCUUGCUGUACACAAUGCAAUGUAACUAGAAUGGUCUUUAUCUUUUAAUCAGUUUCCCGGUUAUAUUUCUUCUAGAAUUUAGUUUGUUUACUUUGUGAUUUAUUGGCAUUUUGUUAGAUGAUACAUGCUUCUAACUACAAUACAGAUCAGGUCCAAAAUCAGGAUACAUGACAGCUGCAAAGCAAAUAUAUCAAAGUUGCUCGGGUGGAUCUAUUGUGGUUCAAGCUCCUCAGGUGGAUCUAAUCAAGACAACUUAUUGACCGUCUUCCAUUUCAACUGCAGCAAUAUGGGGUGGCGCAUGUGGAGUAGGAGGGUAGAAGAGAAGAUGGAGAAGGUGGUUAUUCUGGCCUUACGUUGAGUGUUGAAUCUGGGAUAUAUGAAAAUACUUGAGUUGAAGAAGAUCCGGUACUGGAUAUAAAUGAUUGAGGAGACGCAUGACUUAAAUAAAAAGAGUUGUGAGAAUAUGAAAUAAGAAAAUUACUGUUUCUGAUUGAGUCUUAAUCUAAAGACGACAUUUCUAUGACGCUUGCAUUCACAAAUUGAAGAAACUGCUGCCGAACACCUUUGUUGGUUGCAAUUAUCCUACAAA